Molecule: ribosomal RNA, 465 nt
Filed under: uncultured bacterium
Lineage: Bacteria
Description: bacterial SSU rRNA
Rfam family: Bacterial small subunit ribosomal RNA
Source: RNAcentral
AGAGUUUGAUUAUGGCUCAGAACGAACGCUGGCGGCAGGCCUAACACAUGCAAGUCGAGCGCGCCCUUCGGGGUGAGCGGCGGACGGGUUAGUAACGCGUGGGAACGUACCCUUUGGUAGGGAAUAGCCACUGGAAACGGUGAGUAAUACCCUAUGAGCCCUUCGGGGGAAAGAUUUAUCGCCAAAGGAUCGGCCCGCGUUAGAUUAGGUAGUUGGUGGGGUAAUGGCCUACCAAGCCUACGAUCUAUAGCUGGUUUUAGAGGAUGAUCAGCAACACUGGGACUGAGACACGGCCCAGACUCCUACGGGAGGCAGCAGUGGGGAAUCUUGGACAAUGGGGGCAACCCUGAAUCCAGCCAUGCCGCGUGAGUGAAGAAGGCCUUAGGGUCGUAAAGCUCUUUCGCCUGUGAAGAUAAUGACGGUAGCAGGUAAAGAAACCCCGGCUAACUCCGUGCCAGCCGCCGC